ACAAAAGCUGUACUGGUUGGGUUUCACUAAGUUGAGGUGGUACUUCAACUCAUUGCGAAUGGCGCCUAAUGCCGUUCAAGCUUGCGUUUUACUUUUGUGUGCUACCAGUAAGAUGGUGCCUGCUA
This 125-nucleotide small RNA is filed under the name Mycoplasmoides pneumoniae M129. Its description in RNAcentral is "Mycoplasma pneumoniae M129 ncRNA". Lineage: Bacteria; Bacillati; Mycoplasmatota; Mycoplasmoidales; Mycoplasmoidaceae. The record is from RNAcentral.